GAGCAUAGAACUUGUUUGUGCGGAGUAGAGAUUGUUAUUCUUGAAAAGGUUAGCUGGGUGACGGUUAGAGUUAUGACUAGGGUAACCUGUGUUAGAAACGAUACUGCACGAAUAUCUUUCCAAUCUUGGAUAUUAUUUUGCACACCGCCGUCGGAAGAUUUGUUUUAAUGAACUUAUCAUAAUAUUAUAAUAUAAGUCAGGUAAAGGUGCAGACUAAAGAUUGGUAAACAUGUGUCAUUAUAUACGUAUUAUAUCGAUAUAAUUUGAAACAAUUGUUUGUAAUAACUUAUAAGUAAACCAAUUUAAUUAAAAUUUAUUGAAUAGGUUAAUUCUAAUGU
RNAcentral lists this ribosomal RNA (338 nucleotides) under Docophoroides simplex. RNAcentral describes it as "partial 12S ribosomal RNA". Lineage: Eukaryota; Metazoa; Arthropoda; Insecta; Psocodea; Philopteridae. The record is from RNAcentral.